Long non-coding RNA from Lagopus leucura (white-tailed ptarmigan), 6465 nucleotides. RefSeq lists it as uncharacterized. NCBI's taxonomy places the organism in Eukaryota, Metazoa, Chordata, Aves, Galliformes, Phasianidae. The record is from RefSeq and is a predicted model, not a curated record. The transcript is spliced from 9 exons.
AAUUGAAGAGUUUGUUACCCCAAUGCUUAAGAGAUAUGGUUAAAGCCCUGUAAGAAAGCAGACAUUCCGCAAUGAUGCGGUUACCUGGCUCCAGUGUACAAGACCAGUGAGCGAAGAGGAAUCCUGUCAACCACUGACCAUUCCACCAACUUUGUCACUGCGAGGACCCUUCCUUCCAACAAACCGCAGGAACACUGGAUCAAACGUUAUUUUGUCAGCUUAAUUCACAAACCUACUGCAACUACUUAGGGUUCCUUUGCUAGAUCACCCAUGAGGAACACAUGUUGGUCCUGAAUGGCUGUAAUAUCAAAAGGUCUGGGAAUAGUGAGGUUCAUCGUGCACGCCACAGGUAAUUCACGAAGAAUUUCACAGACAUCUAUAGAAAGUUCUGAAAGCUGUGCCUGUUUCUCAACUGCAAGGAAAACAUCAAAUAGUACUGACAAAAGCGCUAAGUAAACGCAGACGUGGAAGACGUAAAAAUAAAUCUUCCAAAACACCUUACAGGACCACCAGGCAAGACUAAGAGAUCGCUACUGUCGCUGAUAUUAAGAUAGUAAUCUCGGUGGAAACAGACAAUAGAGCAGAGAUUAUCAGAGCUGAUGACCUUUUAAUGCCUGCAGUGAUUUAACAGUGCCGGUAGCCUUGGGAGACAGGGAGAUCUGCCCUGUGAUCGCUUAUGAAAUACUACCCAAGUUACUCAAGGUAUCCUAUGUGUGAGCAGUGAGCGUGAGGACCUCGGGAAGGUUGGGGAACCCAACACCUGCAACACGGUGCUGCUGGUUCAGGGAAAUUCGGCCCCGUGGGACUGCUGCUCCCCCCCUUCAUCCCUUCCUCAAGCUGGUGUGGGCCGUUUGCAGGCAGGUUUCCUUUGGCCUCUGCCCUCCUGCUGUUUUUCCCUCUCAACGCGAGUAUGAAUGUGCUGCGGACUCAUGGAGCUGGAAGGUGAGUCUGGGCAGAGGAGGUGGCUGGGGACCCCACAGAGGCCGUUCUUCCUGGGCAACCACAGUGACCUCUGCUGUCACCAAGCAAGUCUGAGCACUUGUGCUCUACUGCAGAGGAGAGGUUUUAUUCCAGCUCACCCUGGAGGUCCUCUAUAAUAUACUGAGCACUGUACCUUGCAGAAAUUCUCAUUUGUGGUCAUGUCCCGUAUGCUGCUGGACUUGAAAAAUGCAGCUCCUGGUAUUUGAAGAAAAGCCUCCAGCUGUGCUGGAAUGUGGCAGUGUCCUCGGAGGCCCCUCCGUUAGCCCUUAGCAGCAGCCCCAGCCACAAAUGAGGCAGGGGAGGAAAUGAGUUUGCAAUGAUGUGUUUUUCAGACGUGGUGAAGCCUGUGCUGGUGGCAGCCACAAGAAGAGCUGUCUGGUGGUUUCCAGGACUGUCUGCACUCAGAGAAAGCUGUAGAGUAUUUCUAAUGUGACGGGAAACAUCCUCCGUUGUUCCUCCUCUAUAUUUGACUGAAAUGAAGCUGCCCGCCUGCGCAGUGGUACCCACCUCUGCUAUUCUGGGCCCUGUGCAAUUUGGAGAGUGACAACUUACCUUAACUAUUGGAGCAUCGACCGCUUCACCAAGUUCUCCCGGGCGUUGCGGUCCCUGCUUCCUGCCACGGCUCCUGAUUCCUGCAUGGAAACCAUCACCGAUACCAAGCGGGUGGAGAGGGCGGCCUUUCAUAGAAUCGUAGCCUUCAGUCCUCUUGCUACCUGCUUGUGCUCUCGGCACCUCUGCUGCCACUCUGGUGGCCUCCAGCAACUGCCACUGUGUUGUACACAACAGAAACAUCGGGGUUCUGUUUCAUAUGUUCUAAACCGCACGCAGGCACCUGAAUAAUUCCCACCUACUCCAUGGCAGGCAGGCUGACCCCCCUGCAGCUGUCAGUGCAGCACGAAGCUGCUUGCAGGAGCUCAGGUGCGCUUUUCAGUACAGCUCACACACCCGAACCUGAGCCUUGCAGAGAAAGGCAGCUAACUCUGAAUGCAUCGCUUUGCACGAAAUGAGCGUCUUCCCUGACAAACCGGUGCUCCUCUUCUUCUGAAGGUGCUUCUAAGGCAGAACUACUGUGCCAUGAUCUCUUCACGCUGUUAGAACCCAGAGAACUGCCCCAAAACCAGAGUCCCCUCACCCCUACCUCCACCUCUCCCUGCAGGGCUGUGCCCCCCUGGCAGGAGUGGUGCUGCUCCUGCAACUCCUCCCAGCUGGGGCCCAGUCUCGUUGCCCUCCCAGUUUGGGAAGGUGAGCUUUGCCCUACAGAACACGUAAUUCGAGGACUGCAAGGACAGCAAACGUAUUUUGGGUAUCUCUGUUUCUACCGAGAGACUGCUUUCCCCCUCCAUUUCCCCUCUUUACCCUAGGGUUGCUACCUCUGUAGAAACUCCAGCUUACCAUGCUGGGGAAAUGUCAAAAACUGGGCAGAAGAAAAACCAAACCAAAAGGUGAAAACCAUUGUGAAUAAUGUUACAAAUGCACACCCAUUUCCAACGCUGAAAUGCUAUUAAAAACCGUGUUCUCAAUCAUCUGCAUUCUCAGUAUGCCCCACCAUGAGAAGGCGAGGACCCAGCAACUUCCUUCUGCCCCAUCUCCAAAGGAACGCUGCCUUGAGUGCAUUCAAAGUUAGCUACCCCUUACACAGCUGCUCAGUAUUAAUCGACCCAUUUAACAGCAGUACCAGCUUAUGCUACAUAUGUCGUAUUACCUUACCUCAAAGGAACGGCGUACGUAUCUACAUUUAUAAAAUACCAUUCACAGUUUAUUACUGUGGUUAUCCCAAAAGGGUUUAGUCUUCGGAGCGCUAUGGACAUAAUAGGGCGUUUUUAUCCCUAAGAGGGCUCACAGCCUAGGCAGGGCACGGGGACAGAGGUGCUGCCAUCAGCAGGGUGCACCUUAGCCCUGGUGGUUCCAUCCAUGACACUUUCGGAGCACAAUCUCAUGGCUUUAUUUUUUUUUUCUGGGGGAGAGAGGAACGGGGAUGCAUCUAUUCACACGGCCUAACGCCUUACAAAUCUACAAAAUUCCUCUUUACCAAGAUUCAAAACUCUCUAAUUAUAAAGUAGCGCUAACUAUUCACACUUCCUAACAGGGAUUAUGUCCUUAGCUUCCUCCUCAGCUCAGCACAGACCUCCCCCCACCAGCUGGGCUCACCACUUCAACCUUCCUCUGUGUUUCAGAAAGUGCCACUGCCAUCAGUCAUACUUCACAGAUCCCAGAGGAUCCCCUGCCUUGUCCCAGCCUACGAACAGAUACCAGCCCUGGCCGUGGGACAAAUGGAGAUGCCUUACCUUCAGCCUUACCUUCCGGUCAUCUCUGUGACAGCAGCGAGCCCCCUCACAGCGUCAGAUACUAAAUCUGAGUGGUGCAGGGUGACCAUGUGCUUCAAUAAAGUGACUCGCGUGUCCCCCUUCAUUCUUGGGCAUUUGAGAGUCGCUUCAAACCACGGAACAUUGUUAUUUAUUCCUGAUUUGAAAACCCCACUUUAAUGGUGGCCACUUCUACCUGCAUAACACUUAGCAAAAGGCCAAAAAUAAAAACGAGGGCAUGUUCUGAGCAGCUGAGGCUGCCCUCGUGGACAGCCGUGCUUCUUUGUGUGUGAGGAAAUGUAGUACUGCAGCCCUCCAGCCCCUGCCUGUGUGCAGCCCUGGCUUGUGGAAGUGGCAUUGGAACCCAAAUCCUGCAUGUGUAACAACAGAUGAGCUGUUCUGUCAGCAGCAGAGAUCUACAAUCCAGAAUAAUGGAAACACUACAAGUGACAGAUCUAGAAAUGAGCAGGUGUACAGUCUUUUUUAUAUUAUUGCAAGUCAAAACAUCUCUUACAAACAAUAGCAGAAGAGAACUCCGGGUGACGCUGCCUGUUCUGAGGUGAUGGUCUUUAAGAGCCCAAGAGGUCACUGAUCACCCGAGGCUUGCUUAGUCCUUGUUAAAGCCUAUUUUCUACAGGUCCCCCUUGAGCUCAAGAGCCUUCAAAAGAGAUGAACACCUACCUGAGCUUGCACCCAGCUCUCGACUGGCAAUAAGCACUGGAUCCCCUCUGCGUGCACGGGCCCCAGCACCAAUUAGACAGCAGCCCUGCACGCGCUAUUUCGGGGCUCCUCCUCACUGUCCCAGAGGACCACACGAAAUGAGCUCAUUGUAUACGGUUCCUGCACUCUGGACUGCAUUUCCACCAAGUGGUGGGAUCCAGGGUCAGUGCAACCAUUUUUUGUUCUGUAGCAGGAGAAACAUCUCUGAGCUGAGCUUAGGGUACCUGGAGCACAUCCAUGUGAUGCUUCCAAUCGCUGCUAUGCACUCAAGACAAGUCGUGAAUACUCCACUGCAUCUAAGCAAACGGUCAUACACGUUUAACUCCUCAGCUAUUUUGCAAAAAAAAACAAAAACAAAAUUAAUAUUUAUUUGAGCAAUCAAUGAGGUGCAGCUUCCACUUCUGUCAGAACUAGCCCUCAGCUCGGCAGGUAACACCUAAGAUGAUCACUGCAAGAGAGAAGGUGAAAACCAGCUCUUGCUCUCCUUCGUUUAGCGUUUUUACCUUAGACAAAGGCUGAUGGAGGUAUCUGCUCUUGAGAAGCAGUGCACUGCUUUUCUUUUGUACAUGAGCAAAAGGAAAACAUCUACCAAGAGGUGUCUGCCCAUGAAAAACCCACGGGAGCUGAUGCUGGUGCGUAUAGAUACCACUGUAGAACCAGAGAAUUAAUCAGAGAUGGAGAAAAUAAUUCUGCCAAUGCUCACCUACAGCUUUGUGCUGACAAAAUGCACUUUGUGUGUGGAUAGCCCUCAGUGCCAGGUGACGGCCUGCCCCAAGGGCUGCCUCCAUCCAAGGAACGCUGCGUUUCCACGCUACCAAGUGCAUCUUACCCACAAACAACGAUUACAGUGAAUAAAUAAUUCAAGCUACGUAAGAAAUGCUAAAGAACACUGUUAUUUACAUUUUGUUUCUUUCUAACACCGGUCCUACUUACUUUAUUACCAGAGGAACAAACAGGUCUCCACCUUCCAUGAGCAGCUGUCUGAUUUUGGAGACGUGCGUCCCUCUCCCCCCAUCGCUUUCAUGUGCCCCUCUCUGAAUUCAUGCACGAGCAGUACAGCCAUUGUUCUUCUCCAUUGGGAGUUACUCUGUUGUAUGACCUGCUCAGGGAUAAACUGACCACCCCUUCCCCCGCUGCUCCAUCUGCCUACAGCACCUAAGCUGCUUACAUGCUUCGGUACUGUCACCAGCAAACCUUCCAGGAGCAGGGUCCCCAGGACGGCAUGUGCCAUCUUCUGUUUCCCAUCACAAUCAGAAUGCUACAGAUGGUGCCGGAAGGAGACACAGUCUUUGAGCUAUGUGACGCUCCCUAAUCACUCAUCUCACCUCAGUGGUGUGCUGGUCAGUUGCUCUGUUCUCAUCUGGCCCAGCAUCUCCCUUCAGUAGCUCUGAAGAGCCCCACGCGGCACCCUGCAGCUGGAGGUGAGCUUGGCUGGCUCAAGCAGGGCUGGGCACACGUGGCACAGGAGCAGGCUGUUGGCAAAACCGUCCCUGGCUCAGCAAUCACACGUUUCCUUUCCACCACCAAGCACCCAGCUCUGAAAACUCCUCCUACCUUUUGUCAGGCUGCCCCCGAGCCACCAGGACUGCAGUCAGUAUUGCAAGCUGUGUUCAUAGGCAGGAUGGUGGAGGAACUAGAUACAAUUUCCAGAGCACUGGUUGUUGCUGGUUUUGUUGCCAGAUUACCCCAAAGAUCUUGACAUUAAUAGUACUGAAGUGCAUAAACUGAAAUACUGCCCUCCACCAGGUAUUACUCUCCCUUUCUAAAAGCCUUAAUGAGACACAGACACCUCUUUACAGGUACCUAAUGCAACCUCAAGAUUUUCAGCGGGAACCAGGCACACAAAUGCUCACACAGGACGUGUUGGCGCACCAGGAACAAGCCAUCAGCAGCACUGCUCCACCCCUCCCAGCUCCAUCUGCUAACGCGUCCUAAACAGCGGCUGAUGGUUCCUUCCCAACAGGAGGAGGGGUGUGCAGGUUUCUACCUAAAAACUGAGGCUAAUGAACGCGGAACCCAGUGCAGGGAGGCCAACUCGUACCUGUUUACAUUUUGGGACUGAAAGCUCUGUGAGUCAUGCGCAUUUUGACUUAGCAAACAUCAUGUACACUGUGUUCUGUGACAGAGUAAUCUUCCUGUUAGAAAAAAGCAUUCCGUACUGUGCUGCACGCCGGAGCAAGGCAUUCUCCUCCUUGGAUCCCUUCCAGGGCUUGCUCUGCUGUCCUUCACGUGGCAGCGGUAAGAGCUGGCUGCUCUGUCACUGUGUUCUCUGAAACAGUCAAUGCAACGCCUCUCCGAACUGGUGGACAUUUUACCAAAGACUUGAUAUGCUUCAUUUUGGCAUUUCCACAGUCAUCCUUUACAUAUAAUUCACUUUUUUUAAUUUAAAAUUAUUAUUUUGUAUUUUGCUGGUCACUUCCAUAUUGCUUCAUUCAAAAUCCAGAAAACAGUUCAAAUAAAA